RNAcentral lists this ribosomal RNA (497 nucleotides) under uncultured bacterium. RNAcentral describes it as "partial 16S ribosomal RNA". It matches the Rfam family "Bacterial small subunit ribosomal RNA", at positions 28 to 507 of the family's 1533-position model. The record is from RNAcentral.
GAUGAACGCUGGCGGCGUGCCUAAUACAUGCAAGUCGAGCGAACAGAUCAGGAGCUUGCUCCUUUGACGUUAGCGGCGGACGGGUGAGUAACACGUGGGUCACCUCCUUAUCUGACUGGUAUAACUACGGGAAACCGGGGAUAAUGCCGGAUAACAUUCAGAACCGCAUGGUUGUAAAGUGAAAGAUGGUUUUGCUAUCACUUAUAGAUGGACCCGAGCCGUUUUAGCUAGUUGGUAAGGUAACGGCUUACGAAGGGAAGGAUACGUAGCCGACCUGAGAGGGGGAUCGGCCACACUGGAACGUGACCGCGGUCCAUACUCCUAAGGGAGGCAGCAGUAUGGAAUCUUACGCAAUGGGCGGAAGCCUUACGGAGCAGCGCCGCGUGAGUGAUGACGGUCUUCGGAUCGUAAAACUCUGUUAUUAGUGAAGAACAAAUGUGUAAGUAACUGUGCACUUCUUGACGGUACCUAAUCAGAAAGCCACGGCUAACUACGUG